Molecule: ribosomal RNA, 442 nt
Filed under: uncultured bacterium
Lineage: Bacteria
Description: partial 16S ribosomal RNA
Rfam family: Bacterial small subunit ribosomal RNA
Source: RNAcentral
CCUACGGGGGGCAGCAGUGGGGAAUAUUGGGCAAUGGGCGCAAGCCUGACCCAGCAACGCCGCGUGAAGGAAGAAGGCUUUCGGGUUGUAAACUUCUUUUGACAGGGAAGAGCAGAAGACGGUACCUGUCGAAUAAGCCACGGCUAACUACGUGCCAGCAGCCGCGGUAAUACGUAGGUGGCAAGCGUUGUCCGGAUUUACUGGGUGUAAAGGGCGUGUAGCCGGGCUGACAAGUCAGAUGUGAAAUCCGGGGGCCCAACCCCCGGACUGCUCUGGAAACUGUGUAACUGGAGUGCAGGAGAGGCAGGCGGAAUUCCUAGUGUAGCGGUGAAAUGCGUAGAUAUUAGGAGGAACACCAGUGGCGAAGGCGGCCUGCUGGACUGUAACUGACGUUGAGGCUCGAAAGCGUGGGGAGCAAACAGGAUUAGAUACCCCAGUAGUC